GGGAUGAGUAAAAAUAGCUACUACGUGUGUCAGUUAGUGUUGGUGUGUUGUCGGAUCUGCCUGGGCUGGGGCCAAAAAAAAAUAAUAAUAAUGGGUCUUUCGGGCCUCGGAACACCCAGAGAAGGACCCGCUCUUGCUUCUUCGGCCAAGAAGACUUGGUACCUUACACUACGCCAGCUUGUGUAUUUAUUUACAACAGAAGAUGUCAAACUAAUUCCCGUUUAAUUCUGCUGAUGUCUGGUUAGCAGCAGCAGCAGCAGCACAACCUUAUUGACCAGCCAUCUCAAGCAAUACCAUGUUCCAUUCGGCUAAUAUCCACAUGGUGCAGAGAGUUCGACGCCCAAAUGCACUGCGCACAUAUUUUGCUUCUUCGUCCAUUAUUCCCGGUAAAGAACCAUUUCGACGAGGCGUUCUCUUCAGCACUGUGGCCGGAAUAAUGUUGACCAUUGGCGGACUUUUAACAUGGAUGAGCUUCAAUAAAAUCUUCGGGGCCCGUGCUUCCAUGAUGGGUCCUCUUCUGAUUGCCUUAUCUCUAGGACUGAUGUUCUUUUCUCUGAGACAGUUCCUCAUUGCUAGAAAACAAAGUCAUACAGCAGCCAGAGAAAGAAUUCGGUUCCAGGCCUUAAGUCGAGAGGCAGUGGCCGCCAUGGUAAUAAACAGAGAAGAUGGAAUCGGUGUGCCGUGACUGUUAUAAUGGACACAGUUGACAUGAGGUCAGAUGCAUCAUGGAGAUCUGCCCCUUCCAUGGAAUAUGCGCCACCUUCCUACAGCGAGGUCCUACAACGGACCCACUCACCCUCGUCGUCAAGCGUCCCACAGCUCUCUCCACCUGAUCGAGACUCUGAACCUCCACCAUCCUACGACGAAGCUGUGGCCGCACUUCACUGCCGUAAUACAGUCACAACAGAGCCCAGCCCUCAAUAUACUGAAUAUAUCACCCACGAACACUUAAUUCCAGCCACUCUGGAACCAACAGAGCCGCAGUCCUCACCAUUAACCAUACAAACUCAGCAACCAUUCACAUACUGUAAUUCUAGUAAAGAGGACACUUCAAUAUUACCUACAGUAACUGGUUAAAUCUUUCUCAAUUACCAGUCUAUCUAAUUAUAUGAAUAUAUUUAUUAAACAUACUGGUUACCAUUAUGGAUGUGAGUGGCACUGACAUGAUAAAUAAAGCUUGGUUAUACUUGAUUUUCAGUUGUAAUUAAAAAAAUUAAAGUUAA
This is a long non-coding RNA of Octopus sinensis (East Asian common octopus), 1223 nucleotides long. RefSeq lists it as uncharacterized. The record is from RefSeq and is a predicted model, not a curated record. The transcript has 5 exons. NCBI's taxonomy places the organism in Eukaryota, Metazoa, Mollusca, Cephalopoda, Octopoda, Octopodidae.